Non-coding RNA from Thalictrum thalictroides, 170 nucleotides. NCBI's taxonomy places the organism in Eukaryota, Viridiplantae, Streptophyta, Magnoliopsida, Ranunculales, Ranunculaceae. The record is from the annotation of a GenBank genome assembly.
AUCUUUGCGCUUGGUGCAAUGACACAGCUAGAAAGGUUAUACAGAGGCAUGUAAAAUGUUGGUUGAAAACUAUUUCAAGACCCCCUCCUCGGCUUUUCGUGAAUGCCUGGGCCAAUGUGCCAUUGAGAAUUUCUAGAAAGGCUCACUCUAAACAAGGGUAAAUUAAAGCC